RNAcentral lists this ribosomal RNA (502 nucleotides) under uncultured bacterium. RNAcentral describes it as "partial 16S ribosomal RNA". It matches the Rfam family "Bacterial small subunit ribosomal RNA", at positions 30 to 523 of the family's 1533-position model. The record is from RNAcentral.
AUUGAACGCUGGCGGCAUGCUUUACACAUGCAAGUCGAACGGCAGCACGGGUGCUUGCACCUGGUGGCGAGUGGCGAACGGGUGAGUAAUGCAUCGGAACGUAUCCAAUAAUGGGGGAUAACGCAUCGAAAGGUGUGCUAAUACCGCAUACGCCCUGAGGGGGCAAGGGGGGGACCGUAAGGGCUCACGGUAAUGGAGCGGCCUAUGCCUAAUUAGCUAGUUGGUGAGGUAAAGGUUCACCAAGGCGACGAUCAGUAGCUGGUCUGAGAGGAUGAUCAGCCACACUGGGACUGAGACACGGCCCAGACUCCUACGGGAGGCAGCAGUGGGGAAUUUUGGACAAUGGGGGCAACCCUGAUCCAGCCAUGCCGCGUGAGUGAAGAAGGCCUUCGGGUUGUAAAGCUCUUUCGCAAGGGAAGAAAACUUAGCCAUUAAUACUGGCUGAGGAUGACGGUACCUUGAUAAGAAGCACCGGCUAACUACAUGCCAGCCGCCGCAGUAA